RNAcentral lists this ribosomal RNA (468 nucleotides) under uncultured bacterium. RNAcentral's name for it is "partial 16S ribosomal RNA". It matches the Rfam family "Bacterial small subunit ribosomal RNA", at positions 28 to 507 of the family's 1533-position model. The record is from RNAcentral.
GACGAACGCUGGCGGCGUGCUUAACACAUGCAAGUCGAACGGAAAGGCCCUGCUUUUGCUGCGUGCUCGAGUGGCGAACGGGGGAGUAACACGUGAGUAACCCGCCCUUGACUUUGUGGUAACUUCAGGAAACAGGGGCGCAUACCGGAGAUGAUCUCCUGCUCCAUGGGGGGGGAUGGAAAGUUUCGGCGGUGGGGGCUGUACUCGCAGGUUAUCAGCUUGUUUGUGAGGUAGUUGAGUACCAAGGCUUUGACGGGUAGGCGGCCUGAGAGGUUUACCGGCCACCUUGCGACUGAGGUACGGCCCAGACUCCUAUGGGAGGCAGCGGUCGAGAAUAUUGCACAAUGGGCGGACGCCUGAUGCAGCAACGCCGCGUGCGGGAUGCUGGCCUUCGGGUUGUAAACCGAUUUCGCCUGUGACGUAGAGUGAGUGACGGUAAUGGGUAAAAAAGCACCGGCUAACUACGUG